UGUUGGCAUCAUCGUGGACAAGACCUUGACACAAGAUGUUGUAGAUGUCAAAAGGGUAGAAGAUAGAAUCAUGGCAAUCAAGAUUGUAAUAGGACAAGAACUCAUCAAUGUGAUUAGUGCUUACGCACCUCAAGUAGGGUUGGAUACGAGUUCGAAGGAGAAAUUUUAGGAAGACCUUGGAGACUUGGUGCAAGGAAUUGCUCAGACGGAGAAGUUAUUUAUAGGAGGAGAUUUAAAUGGACACGUGGGCAGGGAGAUAGACAACUAUGGAGGUUUUCAUGGUGGCCAUGGUUUUGGGGGAGAGAAACGAGGAUGGGGAAGCUAUCUUGGAUUUUGCAAUGGCAUAUGAUCUCUUAUUAGCCAACACCUUCUUUAAGAAGAGAGAAGAACAUGUGAUCACCUACAAGAGUGGGUCGUCAAAAACACAAAUUGAUUUUCUUCUAAUGAGGAAAGGGGAUCGUAUAACUUGUAAGGAUUGCAAAGUUAUACCGGAAGAGAGCUUGGCUAAUCAACAUCGCUUGUUGGUUAUGGAUGUACAUAUCAAAAUAGUGAGAAAAAAGAACAAGACUUAGAAGUGCCCAAGGACUAGAUGGUGGAAUCUAAAAGGAGAAAAAACAAGCCAUUUUCAAAGAGAAAGUAAUCACCCAGUGUGUGUGGGAUAGAGAGGGGGAAGCUAGCCAAAGGUGGGAUUCCAUGGCUAGUUGUAUUCGAAAAGUAGCAAAAGAGGUAUUAGGAGAGUCCAAGGGCUUUGCUCCACACCAAAAGGAAUCUUGGUGGUGGAAUGAAGAGGUACAAACAAAGGUGAAGGCUAAGAAAGAAUGUUGUAAAGCCUUAUACAAGGAUAGGACCGAUGAAAAUGGUGAAAGGUAUAGAAGAGCGAAGCAAGAGGCGAAGAAAGCUGUGAGAGAAGCUAAGUUAGCAGCUUAUGACGAUAUGUAUAAACGACUAGAUACCAAAGAAGGAGAGUUGGAAAUCUAUAAACUAGCUAGAGCAAGGGAAAAGAAGACAAGGGACCUAAACCAAGUGAGGUGCAUCAAGGAUGAGGAUGGAAAGGUUCUUGCUAUAGAGAACGCGGUCAAAGACAGAUGGAGAGGUUAUUAUCAUAAUCUUUUCAAUGAAGGACAUGAAAUGGGUACUUCUUUAGGGGAGUUGAGUAACUCAGAAGAGUGUAGAAAUUACUCCUUUUAUCGUCGAAUCGGGAAGGAAGAAGUGGUUGUAGCUUUGAAGAAGAUGAAGCAUAGAAAAACAGUGGGCCCAGACGAUAUACUGAUCGAAGUGUGGAAAGUCUUGGGAGAGACAAGUAUAGCACGGCUCACUGACCUUUUCAAUAGGAUUUUGAAAACGAAGAAGAUGCCAAAUGAGUGGCGAAAGAGCACUUUGGUGCCUAUCUACAAGAAUAAGGGCGACGUAUAAAAUUGCAUGAACUAUAGGGGUAUUAAGCUAAUGAGUCAUACAAUGAAGCUCUGGGAGAGAGUCAUUGAGCAUAGAUUGAGGCAAGAGACACGGGUUUCGGACAACCAAUUCGGGUUCAUGCCAGGGCACUCAACCAUGGAGGCAAUCUAUCUCUUACAAAGAUUGAUGGAAAGAUAUAGAGAUGGGAAAAAGGAUUUACACAUGGUCUUUAUAGAUUUGGAAAAAGCGUAUGAUAGGGUCCCAAGAGACAUUCUUUGAAGGAUUUUAGAGAAGAAAGGAGUACGAGUAGCAUAUAUCCGAGCUAUAAAGGAUAUGUAUGAAGGAGCAAAGACUGACGUAAGAACUCAUGAAGGACAAACCGAAAGCUUCCCAAUAACUGUAGGAUUACAUCAAGGCUCAUCAUUAAGUCCUUACCUUUUGCGUUGGUAAUGGACGAGUUAACAGAACAUAUUGAAGAUGAUAUUCCUUGGUGUAUGCUUUUCGCAGACGAUAUAGUGUUGAUAGAUGAAACUCAAGAAGGGGUAAAUGCGAAGCUUAACCUUUGGAGAGAAGUGUUAGAAUCUAAAGGUCUUCGCCUAAGCCGAUCAAAGACAGAAUAUAUGGAGUGCAAGUUCAAUGCAAAUGGAGGCCAAAAUGAGUUAGGGGGUGAGGAUCGGAGAUCAAGAAAUACCAAAGAGCGACCGUUUUCGCUACCUAGGAUCUAUCUUGCAAAAGAACGGAGAAUUAGAUGGAGAUCUCAACCAUAGAAUACAAGCUAGAUGGAGGAAGUGGAAGAGUCAUUCCGGCGUGUUGUGUGACCGCCGUAUGCCACUGAAGCUCAAGGGAAAAUUUUAUAGGACGACAAUAAAGCCAGCAAUGUUGAAUGGCACAGAAUGUUGGGCGGUGAAGCAUCAACACGUACACAAAAUGGGUGUAGCGGAGAUGAGGAUGCUUCGUUGGAUGUGUGGGCACACGAGAAAGGAUAAGAUUAGGAAUGAGGAUAUCCGAGGUGAAGUAGGAGUAGCCAAAAUUGUAGGAAAGCUGAGAGAAAAUCGGUUACGGUGGUUUGGACAUGUGCAAAGAAGGCCUACUGACGCUCCGGUUAGAAGAUGCGACUAUGGGACAGAGGUUCAUGUUGAAAAUGUGCCCUAAAACCAAUCAUAUGAUGAUACUUUACAGACAUUUCACAUGUUAAACUAAUCUAGUUUAAUAUCAAGGGCAAAGAUUAUUGUUUGAGCCGUCUCAUAUAAAUGUUAUAUGCUUAAACGAUAAGUCCAAGGAAUAUGUGAUUGGGAGAAUGCAAUCUAAAGAAGUUAGAUUCAUGAGACCAUUCUUUCGUAGACACAUCCUAAACGUUCCUGAUCAUAGGAUUGCCAAUUGGGCAUUGACAGUCCGUUAAGAUCAGUACGUGCCAUGUCUUCUCUCAGGGAGAGUGACUAGUCUCGAGUCAUUGGUGUGUGUGACAUCAAGACAAGUACGUAGGUGCUCAAUAGAGAAUGAGUUCACUGAACACGAUCAAUGAAGAGUUCUCAUAUUCAUGUCACAUGAGAACUCAUGGUUGGGAUAAUGCAAAGUAGUCCUUUGACCUGAGGCAUCACGUUUGUCUUGUGGUUAAGUCAUUGAUCUUUGAUUAUGUCAAAGUCACCCCAUCCGCGGGUGUCCACGACAUCGUUGGGGUUAAGCCACUUAGCUAUGGAGGCAAGUGAAUGCGCAACAAGGGAUCUCUAACCUUCAAACCGUUUGGGGGAGAAUACUCUAUGAUAUGAUUUAGAAUCUCUGGCCAGAGUAUGAAUGAGAUUUAGAAAAGUCGUUCCAAAUCACAUUCAAGGUAAUCAUAUAAGCACACGAAUCACAUUGGAUAGUAGACAUGAAUAAACUAUCAAACCAAACAAUGUGGUCGAGAGUAUUGUAUUAGAGAAAGACCGUAUUGCAUUUGUAAUCCUAAACUGAAUAGGUUCUCUACCUCUUUUGAUUAGCUUGGGUAACCAUGAUAUGCUGCUAGGUGUCACUCUUGGUUUGUGGAAGCCCUAAACGUGUAUAAACACUAAAGGGAGAAUUGAAAGUAAGUUUUCAAUUCACAAUCGAUUUUAAAGAGUUUUAAUCGCCCACUGCCUCGCUAAAAGGAACCUAAUGGAUCGUACACCGUGUAAGGUGGAGAUUGAAGAAACAAUGGAGAUGAGUAAGAAUAAUUAAAUGGUUUAAUUAUUUAUGGCAAGGAUUAAUUAAUAUGUUAAUUAAUCAAACGAAUAAGUUCGUUAAAGACCUCGAGAUAGUUUUGGACCUUAAGGCCCAAUGGGCUUCGAACGUCAAGCCCAUUGACUUAAGUUGUAUGACAAUUUAAUGAAUAAAGAUUCACAAAGGCCCAAAAGCCCAAAUCCCUUAUAUGGCCGGCCAUGUGUGUUGAAUUAGGGUUUUUGGUUCUUAAGUCAUUUAAAGAAGUGACUAUAUAAACAACUUUAUAGCCUAAAAUUCAUUAUGGGUUCUUUUAGAGAAAAUUGGAGAGAACAUGCCUCUCCUUUUCUCUCUAGGAGGCCGGCCCCCUUGGAGGGUGUAUCUAGCAAUCCCACUCCUCCAAGAUCACUCAUUUCUACUUAAAUCUAACCUUGGUGUGGAGACUUAGAGGUUCUCAAUUUUGGGAACUUGGAGAACCAUAUUCUUCCAUCCAAAUCCCAUGGAUCUAAGAAGCAAGGAAUGAAGGCCCUCUCUUUGGGUGAUUAGCCUUUGCUUAUGCAAAGAGGAAUCUACAAAGGUAUAAAUUUCAACUCACUUUGUUUUGAGUUGAGUCUUGGUUCACCAAUCUACUAGGCUUUGAAUUUCAUGGUUAAUGUUUUGUUUUUGAAUGCAUGCAAGCAUGAUUCCGCCUUUUAAUUGUUAAAUGCAUGCUAUAGAUGUUAUUCAAAUGAACAUGUUUUCACAAAAUCAUCCUUCAGUUCAGGGCCGAAGGGGUAGAGGAAGACCUAGGAAAACUUUGGAAGAGACUCUAAGAAAAGACUUAGAGUACUUGGAUCUAACGGAAUACAUGACACAGGACCGAGCACAAUGGCGUUAUAAGAUUCAUAUAGCCGACCCCACUCAGUGACUUGGAUUUUUCAAGUCUCCAACCGAGAAGUUUUCCUCACUCAGGAAAUUAAAGGAAUACUACCUCAACCUACAUGCUCCACUCACAAAGCUUCAACAUACAAGCUUCAACAAAAGAAAAAUUGAAAGAACUUAGUGAAGAAGGUUUUGGUGUAUUUAACACAAUACGUUGAAAUGAAGCAAAGCUUAUUUAUUGAUAUCUCCGAUAAGUUACAAAUAUGUACAUAUACAUAAAUCAAAAUAAACAAACAAGAGGGAGCCUUCACAAAAGUUGCUUAGGAGAAGUCUCAGCAGUCGGUAGAGUCCCAGAAAGAGAAGGCAUCGGAGGGGGAUCAUUCGGAGCCUCAGUACUGGACAGAACCCUAGAAGGAGGAGGCAUCAGAGGUUGAUCAUUUGGAGCUUCAUUACGCGGUACAGCCCCAGAAGACGAAGGCAAUAAAUGCCUUUGGAACAAACCCACAAACCUCUGAUGAUCAAGUAAAAUCUGACCAUCAGAUUCCUUCAUCUGGUCAAGCUUCCUCUUCGUGUUUGUAGCAUAGUCAUGUGCGAGCCGGUGCAACUGUUUAUUCUCAUGCUUGAGCUUUCUAAUCUCCUGUUUAAGACUCAUCACUUCAGCCGCCAAUGAUUCAACUUGGCGAGUUCGAGCAAAUAGGCGUUGGGCCAUAUUAGACACAGAACCUACACACUGAACACUGAGAGCCAGAGAAUCCUUAACAACCAACUCAUCAGACCGUUUGGAAAGUAGUCUGUUAUCUUUGGGAGUGAGAAGGUUCCUGGUCACCACUGUAGCGAUGAUAUCAUUCUUCAUCACGGAAUCCCCAACGGUAAGAGGACCAGUAAGGGAUAAGAAAGAUGGGCGCCAUAUGUUGUAUGGAGAAGGUGUGGCUACCUCUUCAACAAGGUUCAAGUCAAAACAACAGUCGGAAGGGCCAGACAUUUUCAAAUGUGUUGAAGAGAGAAGAGGUCGGACAAAUCAAGAUCUUAGAAGUGCAAGAAAGGAGCUUCUACUGGUGGAGAUUCAAGUGUGCUUUGGAACUUAAUGCCAGCCUCUAUAAAAAUCUGCACUCGACAGAGCUUCAGAAAUCGAAGAAGCGCUUACUCAGAAAUCGAAGAGGCGUUUGCUUUCUUAAAAGCUGGGCUGCUCAGAGACCACAAAGGCCGAUCUCAAAAAUCGAAGAGGCGCUUGCUUUCUCAAAAGAUGGGCUGCUCAGAAACCACGAGGGCCGAUCUCAGAAAUCGAAGAGGCACCUGCUUUUUCAGCUUUGUCAGCACCUGUCACAUGCACACUCAGCUUUGCGAAAAUUACGGGCAUUCUGUCGAAGAUUUCUAGUGAAGUAGAAAGCACGUGGAUCUUACUGUUCAAUCAUCCACUUUCCACACGCAACAUCAGCUCAUGGGUACCACAGAUAACUUUGCCAAAGAUCUCUGACAAAGUUUAGACACGUGAAGCUUGCAGCUUCCACUACAUCGCUAUGACCAAGAAGGGUAAAAGAAUAGCAAAGAAACAACACUAACAAAGUUUAUACACAUAAAUUUUGAAGGUCUAGUGAUCGGAUCAUAUUUAUAUAUAUUUUUACUUCGAAUUCACUCGUCUUUUCUUAGUUAGUUCCUUAUAUUUUUGAGCUAUUUACGUUAUUUUUGUGUUUAUAGGAUUUGUUAUGCAAAGAAAAUAAAAAUAGAACAAGUGAAAUUUUAUGUAAUAAAUUCGUCAAAAGCAAAUUUAAAUUACAAUAUUGCCAACCCAUUGUGACGCUAAAUGAUAAACCAAUAUUUAAACUAUAUAUUUCAUCCUUUUAUAUUUCUUUUCUUGUCUUGUCUAAUUUAGUUAAAGCUUUAAGUAUUUAUGAUACUUUUAAUUUAUUGUGUUUGUAGGAGAAGAAAGUGGAAAGCACUGAGAAAUUAAAUAGAAGAAGUGGAGAGUUGUCGCGUGAGCAAUAGAGAAAAGCAGAAAACGUGAAAGGGAUCCAAGAGGGAGAGCUGCUUUGCAGCUGGACGCGGAGAAGGAAUCCAAGGAGUCAAAAGCAGAGAACAAGAGGUCAGAAAAGAAUAAAAGAAGGAGAAGUAGAUUGGUGCAAAAGGGGGGGUCUUGGAGCGGGGUGGACAGAGGGGCUGCCCUUUGGGCAGCUCGCAGACACGGCAGGAGCGAGAAAGGCAGAGGGCUGCCCUUUGGGCAGCGUGAAGCUGCGGAGAGGAAAGAGGAGCAGACAGCUGCCUUGCUGCAGCAGAAAACCGAGGAGGACUCGGACUGGGUGAGACGAGAGGAGAAGUCAGAGCAGCGUGGGAGCCAGGAGCUGACGUGGAGGUCAGGAAGAAGGCAGAACGAAGGAGGUCAGCGCACAGGAAGCAGAAACACUCUCGCUCUCGGUUAAAUCUUUCCAAACUUCUAUUUUAUUUCUGUUUUAAUAAUGUGUAAUUAAAUUUUAUUUGGCUAGAGGUUAAUUCAAAGCCAUGAAUAUAUUUGUAAUAUGAAUUGAUUACCUUCAGUUGUGAUUUCUAAGUUGUGAAUUUAAUUUACUUAUCUGUUCGUAUAAAAACUGAUUUGUGUAUGUUGGUUAAGAGUGCACGCUUAAUUUACAUGCAUGAAUUUGAUGCUAGAAUAUAAGUGAAUUUCACCUAAUCGUUAUGAACUUAUAUUCACAAGUAGUAAAGGUUGCUAGUCACAAUCACGUUAAGUAAAUUCUUGGCAUAAGUUUCAUGCAAAUCAUAGUAACGAGUGUCCCGUCAAUGCUUAUGUUUUUCAUAGAACUUAAUGAUUCUUGCUUGUAUCUCUAUUAUGCAAUCAUGUAGGGAACUUGUAGGGAAUGUUUUGGGUUGUCGUAUGCAAUCAUCCAACCCAAUAACUUGUGGAAAAACUGAGGGUUAAUUAGUGCAAUUCACGGUUAAUUUGGGGCGUUGAGUAUUCAAGCUUUAUUGAAAAGCAACUGAAAAUCAAUUUUGUAUGCAUAGUAUAACAUGUGUGGAGAAGAACCCUCUAGAUAAUCCGUCACCUAUCAUUUUUACCUUAAUUUCAUGUUUUUUGUCAAUUCUGUAAUUUAAUUUAAGUUUAAUUUACUUUUCAUCCAAAACCAAACACCCAUCCAUUAUUAAAUUAUAUUAUUUAGUUAGUUUUCAUUUAUUGUUAGUCUUUUAAUUUCAAUUUCCGUCCAUUUCAGUUCCUAGUGUCUAAUUUAAUUGUUUUCAUUAUUUUGAGUCAUUUAAGUGUGUUUCGAGUUAUUAGAGUUUUUAGCCUAGUUUUGUGUCCUUGAGUCUUAUUUAAUAUUUUUUAAAAUUAAUUUAGAAUAGAUUAGCAAUCCCUCCUAAUCCCCGGCUAGAACGAUACCCUACUUACAUCUAUACUACAAUUGUCAAAAAGAGGGUUUAAUUUGUGUGUCAAGUAAUUUGCGCACCAAAUUUUGGCGCCGUUGCCGGGGAUUAGCAACUUUGCUAAUCCUUUUAUUUUGUUUUUGUUUAUGUUUAUAUUGGUGUUUGUGUAUUUUACUUUUGAUAUUUGAUUUAUUUUUCUUUCUUUGAUUUUAGGUUCAAAAUGGAGCCGAGGGAAAUUUAAAGGAAAGAUGCGUCCGGCUAAAGACGUUAAAUCAAGCGCUUCUGGGAGGCAACCCAAGCAUUCAACGAAGGGAAACUUUGGAAUCACUAACCCAAUCAGCUUUGCAUUCUUCCACCCUUAUCUUACUGCUUUCAUUUUGUUUUGUUUAGUUAGUUGUGUUAUUUUGGUUGAUUUCUGUGAGUUUGUGUUAUUUAGUUUAAGUGUGGGGGAAGAUUAACCAAAGUCUCUUUACAUUAAUUUACAUUUAAAAAAAAAAAAAAAAAAAAAAAAAAAAAGAUAAAAUUUAAAAAUUAAUGAUAAAAAAAAAAAGUACAUAAAAAAAAUUUAAAAUUUAAAAAAAAAAAAUUUAAAAAAAAAAAAAAAGUACAAAUAUUUUACAAUAAUGUAAACUAAUAGUAUUCAUUGGUCGGGUGGUGCUUCGGUAGUAGGCGGGGCUUCAGCAGUCGGCGGGGCCACAGAAGGAGGAGGCAGCAGAGGUUGAUCAGUUGGAGCUUCACUACGCGGUGCCGCUCCAGAAGACGAAGGCAGAUGCGGUUGGAACAAANAAUCAAGAUCUUAGAAGUGCAAGAAAGGAGCUUCUACUGGUGGAGAUUCAAGUGUGCUUUGGAACUUAAUGCCAGCCUCUAUAAAAAUCUGCACUCGACAGAGCUCAGAAUCGAAGAAGCGCUUACUCAGAAAUCGAAGAGGCGUUUGCUUUCUUAAAAGCUGGGCUUGCUCAGAGACCACAAAGGCCGAUCUCAAAAAUCGAAGAGGCGCUUGCUUUCUCAAAAGAUGGGCUGCUCAGAAACCACGAGGGCCGAUCUCAGAAAUCGAAGAGGCACCUGCUUUUCAGCUUUGUCAGCACCUGUCACAUGCACACUCAAGCUUUGCGAAAAUUACGGGCAUUCUGUCGAAGAUUUCUAGUGAAGUAGAAAGCACGUGAUCUCUGUUCAUCAUCCACUUUCCACACGCAACAUCAGCUCAUGGGUCCAGAUAUUUGCAAAGAUCUCUGACAAAGUUAGACACGUGAAGCUUGCGCUUCCACUACAUCGCUAUGACCAGAAGGGUAAAGAUAGCAAAGAACAACACAACAAAGUUUAUACACAUAAUUUGAAGGUCUAGUGAUCGGAUCAUAUUUAUAUAUAUUUUUACUUCGAAUUCACUCGUCUUUUCUUAGUUAGUUCCUUAUAUUUUUGAGCUAUUUACGUUAUUUUUGUGUUUAUAGGAUUUGUUAUGCAAAGAAAAUAAAAAUAGAACAAGUGAAAUUUUAUGUAAUAAAUUCGUCAAAAAGCAAAUUUAAAUUACAAUAUGCCAACCAUUGUGACGCUAAAUGAUAAAACCAAUAUUUAAACUAUAUAUUUCAAAUCCUUUUAUAUUUCUUUUCUUGUCUUGUCUAAUUUAGUUAAAGCUUUAAGUAUUUAUGAUACUUUUAAUUUAUUGUGUUUGUAGGAGAAGAAAGUGGAAAAAGCACUGAGAAAUUAAAUAGAAGAAGUGGAGAGUUGACAGCGUGAGCAAUAGAGAAAAGCAGAAAACGUGAAAAGGAAUCCAAGAGGGGAGAGCUGCUUUGCAGCUGGACGCGGAGAAGGAAUCCAGGAGUCAAAAGCAGAGAACAAGAGGCAGAAAAGAAUAAAAGAAGGAGAAGUAGAUUGGGCAAAAGGGGGGUCUUGGAGCGGGGUGGACAGAGGGGCUGCCUUUGGCAGCUCGCAGAGACGGAGGAGCGAGAAAGGCAGAGGGCUGCCCUUUGGGCAGCGUGAAGCUGCGGAGAGGAAAGAGGAGCAGCAGCUGCCUUGCUGCAGCAGAAAACGAGGAGGACUCGGACAGACGAGAGGAGAAGUCAGAGCAGCGUGGGAGCCAGGAGCUGACGUGGAGGUCAGGAAGAAGGCAGAACGAAGGAGGUCAGCGCACAGGAAGCAGAAACACUCUCGCUCUCGGUUUAAAUCUUUUCCAAACUUCUAUUUAUUUCUGUUUUAAUAAUGUGUAAUUAAAUUUUAUUUUGGCUAGAGGUUAAUUCAAAGCCAUGAAUAUAUUUGUAAUAUGAAUUGAUUACCUUCGGUUGUGAUUUCAUAAGUUGUGAAUUCAAUUUACUUAUCCGUUCGUAUAAAAACUGAUUUGUGUAUGUUGGUUGAGAGUGCACGCUUAAUUUACAUGCAUGAAUUUGAUGCUAGAAUAUAAGUGAAUUUCACCUAAUCGUUAUGAACUUAUUUUCACAAGUAGUAAAGGUUGCUAGUCACAAUCACGUUAAGUAAAUUCUUGGCAAGAGUAUCAUGCUUUUCAUAGUUACGAAUGCCUCGUCAAUGCUUAUAGUUUUCACAAAGUUUAAUGAUCUUUGAUUGUAUCUCUAUUGUGCUUUUCACGUAGGGGACUUUUGAAGAAUGUUUUGAAUUGUUGUAUGCGUUUCGUUCAAUCGUCCAAUUCAAUAACUUAAGGAAAACUUGAAGAUUAAAAAAGUGCUGUUCACGGUUAAUCUGGAGUAUUGAGAUUCACAAUUUAUUAAAUGAACAACUGGAAAUCAUUUGUAUGCAAGUAUAACAUGUGUGGAGAAGAACCCUCUAGCUAGUCCGUCAUUUAUCAUUUUACCUUAAUUUUAUGUUUUUGUCAAUUCUGUAAUUUAAUUAAGUUUAAUUUACUUUUCAUCAAAACCAAACACCCAUCCAUUAUUAAAUUAUAUUAUUUAGUUAGUUUUCUUUAUUGUUAGUCUUUUAAUUUAAUUUCCGUCCAUUUCAGUUCCUAGUGUUUAAUUUAAUUGUUUUCAUUAUUUUGAGUCAUUUUAAGUGUGUUUUCGAGUUAUUAGAGUUUUUAGCCUAGUUUUGUGUCCUUGAGUCUUAUUUAAUAUUUUUAAAUUAAUUUAGAAUAGAUUAGCAAUCCCUCCUAAUCCCCGGCCUAGAACGAUACCCUACUUACAUCUAUACUACAAUUGUCAAAAAGAGGGUUUAAUUUGUGUGUCAAGUAAUUUUCGCAUCAAAUUUUGGCGCCGUUGCCGGGGAUUAGCAACUUUGCUAAUCCUUUUAUUUUUGUUUUUGUUUAUGUUUAUAUUGGUGUUUGUGUAUUUUACUUUUGAUAUUUGAUUUAUUUUUCUUUCUUUGAUUUUAGGUUCAAAUGGAGCCGAGGGAAAUUUAAAGGAAAGAUGCGUCCGGCUAAAGACGUUAAAUCAAGCGCUUCUUGGGAGGCAACCCAAGCAUUCAACGAAGGGAGACUUUGGAAUCGCUAACCCAAUCAGCUUUGCAUUCUUCCACCCUUAUCUUUACUGCUUUCAUUUUGUUUUGUUUAGUUAGUUGUGUUAUUUGGUUGAUUUCUGUGAGUUUGUGUUAUUUAGUUUAAGUGUGGGGGAAGGUUAACCAAAGUCUCUUUACAUUAAUUUACAUUUAAAAAAAAAAAAAAAAAAAAAAAAAAAAAAGAUAAAAUUUAAAAUUAAUGAUAAAAAAAAAAAAAUAAAAAAAAAAAAAUUUAAAAAAUUUAAAAAAAAAAAAUUUAAAAAAAAAAAAAAAAGUACAAAUAUUUUACAAUGAUGUAAACUAAUAGUAUUCAUUGGUCGGGUGGUGCUUCAGUAGUAGGCGGGGCUUCAGCAGUCGGCGGGGCCACAGAAGGAGGAGGCAGCAGAGGUUGAUCAGUUGGAGCUUCACUACGCGGUGCCGCUCCAGAAGACGAAGGCAGAUGCGGUUGGAACAAACCCACAAACCUCCGAUGAUCAAGUAAAAUUUGACCAUCGGUGUCCUGCAUCUGGUCAAUCUUCCUCUUCAUGCUGGUGGCAUAGCUGUGUGCGAGCUUGUGCAAUUCCUUUAUUCUCAUGCUUGAGCCCUUUAAUCUCUUGCUUUGAGACUCUGUAUUUCAGCCACCAACGAUUCAACGUGACGGGUUCGAGGCAUAUAGGCGUUGGGCCAUGUUGGAUACGGAACCGGCACACUGCACGCUAAGAGCCAGAGACUCCUUAACCGCCAAUUCAUCAGACCGUCCUAGCGAGCAGUCUGUUAUCUCUGGGAGUGACAAGGUUCCGGGCCACCACCGCAGCGUCAUGUCAUUUUUUCAUCACCGAAUCCCCCACGGUAAGGGGACCGGUAGGGGAUAUGAAGGAUGGGCGCCAUAUGUUGUCUGGUGAAGGCGGAGCUGCCUCUUCACCAAUGUUCAAGUCAAAACGACGAUCAGAAGGGCCAGACAUUUUUCAGAGAGUGGUGAAGAAAGAAGAGAGUCGGAAUGAUCAAGAUUAAACAAGUGCAAGAAGGGAGUGUUUACAGGAGGGUGCUCAAGUGUGUUGUGGAACAAGCUUAACGCCUCUAUAAAAAGAAGAAAUCAAAGAGGCGCUCCUCAGAGAAGCGUCCUCUCGCAAAUCGAAGAGUCGGAGUCUCCUUUCUCAAAAGUCGGAUUCUUUUCUCAAAAGAGGCGUUUCAUUUCUUAAAGGCUGGGCUUGCUCAGAAACCACGAGCCGAACCCCGGAUUUCAAAAGAUCAAUUUGUCCAGACGUGUCGUCACUUGUCACACGCAAAUUGCUUUGCGAAAUUCUCGGGCAGUUUGUCGAAGCACCAAUUCAGAAAUCGAAGAGGGAAAUUCAACAGUCAAAGACACGCUAGCUUUCUCAAAAGCUGGGCUUCAACCCACGGGCAAAUCUUCUUUUCCAGAUUUAUCCGCACGUGUCACAUGCUACCUCUACAAUCGACGAUGCUCAGAGCUCGAAGCGCCGAUUCCAGAUAUCAAUGAGGAAUCUGCUUUGCGGAAAUUACGGGCAGCUUUGUCAGAAAGCGCGUAAUUUGUACUAUUCAUCCAUCCACCGGCUGCCGACACUAAGUGAGAGAACAGUUCCGGUUGUGAAGACAAGUCCUAUAAGUUUCUACCUUCGCCUUCCACAGCAAAAGCACACUCUCUCAGCACACCCUCUCAACACUUCUUCAUCUCCGAAAAUGCAUUCCCAAAGAAUCCUCUCGAGUCACUCUGUGUUCCUCAUUCCUUGGGAUACUCCUGCGAACAACCCAUUCAAAGCAAAAGUAUUUCAUAUCAUGAAGGUUGAAAGCAAGAGUAUCUCAUAUCAUGCUUUCUUUCUCCCUUGUCCUUUCUCCAGCCAGCACCUUGCUCUCGAGUACUCAUCAUCUUGUGUUUUCGCUUUGUUUUCCUCACUUAUAAGGGAAGUGAAAAUGAUACCUCGAAGCAUGUGGAGACAACGUGCUGAUUCAUCCUCAACUAAGGACAAGGAGAAAGAAAGCAAGAGGUGGGCACUUGGAAAGAUUGAAGAAAGAAACAAGGACCAACACCUCUACCUCUCGUGCCUGCCCGCCAUGCAGAAGGAAACAAGCAGAGAAGAAUGCAGCUUGCACAAUCAUCCCAGCGGAAGGAGUCCGAGACUGAGGAACUAGAGAAGCUGCCACAUCUGCUUGGAGAACAAAUAAGGAACUGCAACAUUCCCAAAGAGCAAAGCCUCGCCGUACAAUAUCAUCAAAUCAUCACUUGCAAGUGAAAAGCUAAGUGUCACCCUGUUCAAGAGGAAAGCUGUGGAAAGUCAACAAGCACGACCAAUGAUUACUUAUUAGUUUUAUUCAUUAUCUUUUAUCGUAAUUUUCAAUUUUUCGUUUGCAAUUUUUUUUUUUUUUUAAUUAAUUUUCUUGCGUUACUUAACUGAAUUACUUUCUUUUCUUUGCAGGAACUUUUGGUUAUUUCCACCCUUGAAGUUGAUUGCAGAAUUUUAGCUUGGGGGUCAUCGCUUGAUUUUACUGCAAAUUAGGGAAGUUUUCAGUCCAAUUGCUUUUAUUUUGUUUCUUAUUAUUUAUUUAUUUUAUUUUUUAUUUUUUAUUUGCAUUAUAGUGUUUUCUGACAUUGGGGACAAUGUCAAGUUUAAGUGUGGGGGUAGAAAUCUCCAGAAUUUCAUUUGUUUCUGUGUUGUUGUUUUUUGUGUUCUUAAUUAGUUUUGUUUUCUUUAAAAAAAAAAAAAAAAAAAAAAAAAUCGGAAAAAUUUAAAAAAAAUCCAAAAAUAUUGUCUUGUUUCCCUUAUUGUUUUGAAUUAGUUUUUUGUUAGUUUCCCGACCCAAUGAUAUAAUUGGAUCAAUUUUGAAUCAUGAUUAUCAAGAACUUAGUUAACAUGUGUUUUGUGAAAUUCCUAAUUCUCUUGUUAGUUUUGUACAUGUUUGACCAUCUUUGAAAAACCAAAUGCACAUAGCCUUGUUAAUGUGAAACUAAAGCAUGACUUAAAGCUUCAUAUGUGAAUUUAGUGACCAUAUACAUCCUAUGUGAGUUUUUGAGCCUAUUGAAAGUGUGUGCAUUUUUCAUACACUCCUAUUCUUUCAUGUGUGAUGAACUUAUGUGAGAUACAUCUCUAGAACUUGCGUAACGAUCUUUCGAAAUGUUUGUCAUUGAUUGCAUGAACUUGGAAAUGAUAGAGGCAUUAGGUUUACCACUAUGGCCCAAAUAACCAUGUUUCCCAAAAAAAAAAAUGAUAUCAUUAGAUUGCCAAUUUGAGCCGUGUAUGUUGAGCCUUUUAUUUCUUAUCACCAGAUAUGUCUACCCUUAUACCUGAAACAUUUUUCCUUACCCUUUCCAAGCAAGCUAGUGAGCAAUGUGAGAUUGUUUUAUGAGAAACGUUUGUGAAGUACUUUGAAGGUGUUUGGCAAAAGAAUAAGUGUGGGGGUAUUUCAUGUUUGUAUAAAAAAAAAAAAAAAAAAAAAAAAAAAAAAAAAAAAGAAAAAAAAAAAAAAAAGAAAGAUUGUAUACAAAGAAAAUGAAAAGUUGUUUAAUUUUCAGUUUAAGGGUGUGGUUGGAGGUUUAAGAAGAAUCGCGGGAAAGCUUGAGUUCUUAUAAAUCUAAACAAAAGAAUUGCUUGCAAUGUAGCUUGGAACUUGUGUUUUCCUAUUCUUUCAAUAACCAUAUCCAUAAGCCUCAUUACAUCCAAUAAAAGUCCUCUUGAUUUAAGUUUUGCAAUUAUGACUAUGGAGAAGUGAUCUUUAUGCAAGCUUAUGGUAGAAAUUUCACAUUUGAUUCUUUGAGUGAAACACAUUAAAACUAAACACAUGUGUGAUUGAGUGCAUAUCCCGUGAGAAGGUCACUAGUUUGCAUAUGAUGAUUUUAAAAAUAAAAACUUGAAAUUGCAUUAGCAUGGCUAUCUCACACACUACACUUCAAGGAUGAUUUGAAAGACUUACUGCUAAUAUUUGAAUUAAGGAAGAUGAACUUGGAUUAACUUGUUUGUUUGAUGCUAGCUAUGGUUCUUGAUGAUUUGUUUUCUUAAAUGAAAUUCUAUGAGGGUCACAUAGGGGGAAGCUAAUGUUUUUUUUCUUGUUACUUCGUGUUCUUGUUUUCUUUCUUUGUUUUGCUCGAGGACUAGCAAAAGUUAAGUGUGGGGGUAUUUGAUCGGAUCAUAUUUAUAUAUAUUUUUACUUCGAAUUCACUCGUCUUUUCUUAGUUAGUUCCUUAUAUUUUUGAGCUAUUUACGUUAUUUUUGUGUUUAUAGGAUUUGUUAUGCAAAGAAAAUAAAAAUAGAACAAGUGAAAUUUUAUGUAAUAAAUUCGUCAAAAGCAAAAUUUUAAAUUACAAUAUUGCCAACCCAUUGUGACGCUAAAUGAUAAACCAAUAUUUAAACUAUAUAUUUCAUCCUUUUAUAUUUCUUUUCUUGUCUUGUCUAUUUAGUUAAAGCUUUAAGUAUUUAUGAUACUUUUAAUUUAUUGUGUUUGUAGGAGAAGAAAGUGGAAAGCACUGAGAAAUUAAAUAGAAGAAGUGGAGAGUUGUCGCGUGAGCAAUAGAGAAAAGCAGAAAACGUGAAAGGGAUCCAAGAGGGAGAGCUGCUUUGCAGCUGGACGCGGAGAAGGAAUCCAAGGAGUCAAAAGCAGAGAACAAGAGGUCAGAAAAGAAUAAAAGAAGGAGAAGUAGAUUGGUGCAAAAGGGGGGGUCUUGGAGCGGGGUGGACAGAGGGGCUGCCCUUUGGGCAGCUCGCAGACACGGCAGGAGCGAGAAAGGCAGAGGGCUGCCCUUUGGGCAGCGUGAAGCUGCGGAGAGGAAAGAGGAGCAGACAGCUGCCUUGCUGCAGCAGAAAACCGAGGAGGACUCGGACUGGGUGAGACGAGAGGAGAAGUCAGAGCAGCGUGGGAGCCAGGAGCUGACGUGGAGGUCAGGAAGAAGGCAGAACGAAGGAGGUCAGCGCACAGGAAGCAGAAACACUCUCGCUCUCGGUUAAAUCUUUCCAAACUUCUAUUUUAUUUCUGUUUUAAUAAUGUGUAAUUAAAUUUUAUUUUGGCUAGAGGUUAAUUCAAAGCCAUGAAUAUAUUUGUAAUAUGAAUUGAUUACCUUCGGUUGUGAUUUUAUAAGUUGUGAAUUCAAUUUACUUAUCCGUUCGUAUAAAAACUGAUUUGUGUAUGUUGGUUGAGAGUGCACGCUUAAUUUACAUGCAUGAAUUUGAUGCUAGAAUAUAAGUGAAUUUCACCUAAUCGUUAUGAACUUAUAUUCACAAGUAGUAAAGGUUGCUAGUCACAAUCACGUUAAGUAAAUUCUUGGCAUAAGUUUCAUGCAAAUCAUAGUAACGAGUGUCCCGUCAAUGCUUAUGUUUUUCAUAAAAACUUAAUGAUUCUUGCUUGUAUCUCUAUUAUGCAACUUCAUGUAGGGAACUUGUUGAAGGGAAUGUUUUGGGUUGUCGUAUGCAAUCAUCCAACCCAAUAACUUGUGGAAAAACUGAAGGGUUAAAUUAAGUGCAAUUCACGGUUAAUUUUGGGGCGUUGAGUAUUCAUAGCUUUAUCGAAAAGCAACUGGAAAUCAUUUUGUAUGCAAGUAUAACAUGUGUGGAGAAGAACCCUCUAGCUAGUCCGUCAUUUAUCAUUUUACCUUAAUUUUAUGUUUUUGUCAAUUCUGUAAUUUAAUUAAGUUUAAUUUACUUUUCAUCAAAACCAAACACCCAUCCAUUAUUAAAUUAUAUUAUUUAGUUAGUUUUCUUUAUUGUUAGUAUUUUAAUUUAAUUUCCGUCCAUUUCAGUUCCUAGUGUUUAAUUUAAUUGUUUUCAUUAUUUUGAGUCAUUUUAAGUGUGUUUCGAGUUAUUAGAGUUUUUAGCCUAGUUUUGUGUCCUUGAGUCUUAUUUAAUAUUUUUAAAUUAAUUUACAAUAGAUUAGCAAUCCCUCCUAAUCCCCGGCCUAGAACGAUACCCUACUUACAUCUAUACUACAAUUGUCAAAAAGAGGGUUUAAUUUGUGUGUCAAGUAAUUUUGCGCACCAUCUAGCUACCAUAUUAUUACCCAUAAGUGUAAAGGAAUAGCACCACUGCUGGAUAAUUGGAAAGUCCUUGUGUGUCAACCUCUGUGCCCCGUGGCAAGGUAGACUAGCAAACAUGCCCAACCUUUACUCACAUUCGAGAAAACACUUCCAACAAGAUUGUUUGCUCCAAAAUCGAAGAGGCACCGUCCUUCGAAUCUCGAGAGCCAGACUCCUAACAUGAUUACUUUCUCAAAAAUCGAAGAGACACCGCUCUCCGAAUCUCGAGAGCCAGACUCCCAGCAGGAUUGCUUUCUCAAAAAUCGAAGAGGCACCGUUCUCCGAAUCUUGAGAGCUAGAUCCCCGACAGGAUUGCUUGUUCAAAAAUCGAAGAGGUACCGCUUUCUCAACUUCGAGAGCCAGAUCUCCUUGGAUAAAGCUUGUUUGUAAUCUUCACAUGUAACAUCAGCUUUCCAGAUACCAUAGACCACUUUUUCAAAGUGCUCUGACAGAGUUAAAACACGUGAAGCUGGCAGCUCCUACUACUGUGCUAUGACCAAGCAGGGUAAAGGAAUAGCAUUACUACUUGUUAGGGAAACUCUUAUAUAUGUCGACCUCCAUCCUCAACGGACAGGCAGACUUGCAAAAAUGCUCAACCCUUCCUCAUAUCUGAGAGGGCACUCCCAACGAAGCCUCUCGAAAUACUCAGCUUUCUUUACCCCCGAUAAUACCUCUGCAAACAAGCUACACCAGAGCAAGAAUAUCUCAUAUCAUCAGGGUUAAAAGCAAGAGUAUCCCAUAUCAUGCUUUUUCCCUAUCUUUUCCUUUGACCUUGUUCUUACCUGCAAGACAAGGAGAAAGAGAGCAAUCAGUCAACACUUGGAAUCAAGCUUCCAGUCAGGAACUGACUGCCUGGAACCCCUUACCUGAUUACUUACCUGGCAUUGCUCUCGAGUACUCAUCUUCAACAUCUUAUACUUCCAGAGAAGAUACCACAUCUGCCUGAGGAAUAGAUAGGGCAAGUGAGAAGGAUACAAGGAAGUAUGUGGAGACAAGCGUAACAGAACACGCGUCGAUACAUCCACUACUUUGUCAACAGCAAAAGUAUCCCAUAUCAGCAGGGUCGAACGUACUCUAGAUUUGAUGGACUUGUUUUGACCCUCAAAUUCUUCAGUCGGCCUUAUACUCUGGAGGAAACCAGAAACCCCUCCAGCCCAGUUUAAGAAUAAGCCUGUGGAAAGUUACUUCUUCAAAAGAAAAAGUAUCUCAUAUCAUCUCUUCUCAUUUUUCUUCUCUUUAUCCUUCAUGCUGUCUGCAAGAUAGGGAGAAUGAGAACAAUCAGCCGGAACUCGAAAUCAAACUUCUGAUCUGGGACUAAUUGCUUGGAGCUCUGAUUGCUUACCUUGUUUGUCACCUCUUUCAGCAGAUCCCCUAGCUCGACGACUUGGGGGACUCCUACUAUAUGGUUUGUAUCGCGCUUGACCAAGCCUGAAACUACAAGUAAGCUUCAAGUGAAAUUGAUACAUUACCUUGUGCAUCUUCACCAGUUAAAGAUACCACCCCUGGAUGGAGGAAGAGUACUUCCAGAGAAGAUGUCACAUCUACCUAUGAGACAGAUAAGGCAAGUGAAGACGAUACCACACUUUGGUACUUAGAAGUUUCAUGAUUACGAGAUCAUUCUCCCACAAUAUUUCCUAAUGUCAUUUGUACUAAAUUAUUCACUUGUACUCAUUAAAGGAGAGCUUGAACCUAUGUACUUGUGUAAACCCUUCACAUUUAAUGAGAACUCCUUUACUCCGUGGACGUAGCCAAUUUGGGUGAACCACGUACAUCUUGUGUUUGCUUCCCUGUAUCUAUCUAUUUACAUACUUAUCCACACUAAUGACCGGAGCAAUCUAGCGAAGAUCACAAACUUAAUUUUUUCUGUUGUACCAAAGUCCUCACUAAUUUUGUGCACCAACAAUCCUUAAGUCCUUACCUUUUUGCGUUGGUAAUGGAUGAGUUAAUAGGACAUAUUCAAGAUGAUAUUCCUUGGUGUAUGCUUUUCGCAAACGAUAUAGUGUUGAUAGAUGAAACUUCGGAAGGGGUAAAUGCGAAGCUUAACCUCUGGAGAGAAGUGUUGGAAUCUAGAGGUCUUCGCCUAAGCCGAUCAAAGCUAGAAUAUAUGGAGUGCAAGUUCAGUGCAAAUGGAGGCCAAAAUGAGUUAGGGGUGAGGAUUGGAGAUCAAGAAAUACCAAAAAGCGACUGUUUUCGCUACCUAGGAUCUAUCUUGCAAAAGAACGGAGAAUUAGAUGGAGAUCUCAACCAUAGAAUACAAGCUGGAUGGAUGAAGUGAAAGAGUGCAUCCGGCGUGUUGUGUGACCGUCGUAGGCCACUGAAGCUCAAGGGAAAAUUUUAUAGGACGGCAAUAAGGCUGGCGAUGUUGUAUGGCACAGAAUGUUGGGCGGUGAAGCAUCAACACGUACACAAAAUGGGUGUAGCGGAGAUGAGGAUGCUUCGUUGAAUAUGUGGGCACACGAGAAAUGAUAAGAUUAGGAAUGAGGAUAUCCGAGGUAAAGUAGGAGUAGCCGAAAUUGAAGGAAAGAUGAGAAAAAAU
This 19733-nucleotide long non-coding RNA is filed under the name Malus domestica (apple). RNAcentral describes it as "long non-coding RNA (MDOM_LNC006024)". Lineage: Eukaryota; Viridiplantae; Streptophyta; Magnoliopsida; Rosales; Rosaceae. The record is from RNAcentral.